UACAGAGGUCCCAAGCGUUGUUCGGAUUCACUGGGCGUAAAGGGUGCGUAGGUGGUGAGGUAAGUCGGAUGUGAAAUCUCCGAGCUCAACUCGGAAACUGCAUUGGAAACUACCUUGCUCGAGGGUUGGAGGGGGGACUGGAAUGCUUGGUGUAGCAGUGAAAUGCGUAGAGAUCGGAAAGAACACCAACGGCGAAAGCACUCUGCUGGGCCGACACUGACACUGAGAGACGAAAGCUAGGGGAGCGAAUGGG
RNAcentral lists this ribosomal RNA (253 nucleotides) under uncultured bacterium. RNAcentral's name for it is "partial 16S ribosomal RNA". It matches the Rfam family "Bacterial small subunit ribosomal RNA", at positions 524 to 776 of the family's 1533-position model. The record is from RNAcentral.